RNAcentral lists this ribosomal RNA (496 nucleotides) under uncultured Proteiniphilum sp. RNAcentral's name for it is "bacterial SSU rRNA". It matches the Rfam family "Bacterial small subunit ribosomal RNA", at positions 903 to 1382 of the family's 1533-position model. The record is from RNAcentral. Lineage: Bacteria; Pseudomonadati; Bacteroidota; Bacteroidia; Bacteroidales; Dysgonomonadaceae.
GCCCGCUCAGAAACUACAAAGGAAGUUGACGGGGCCCGCACAAGCGGUGGAGCAUGUGGUUUAAUUCGAUGAUACGCGAGGAACCUUACCCGGGCUUGAAAUGCAUCUGACCGGCCUUGAAAGAGGCACUCCCUUCGGGGCAGAUGUGUAGGUGCUGCAUGGUUGUCGUCAGCUCGUGCCGUGAGGUGUCGGCUUAAGUGCCAUAACGAGCGCAACCCUCAUCAUUAGUUACCAUCAGGUAAGGCUGGGGACUCUAAUGAGACUGCCAUCGUAAGAUGUGGGGAAGGUGGGGAUGACGUCAAAUCAGCACGGCCCUUACGUCCGGGGCGACACACGUGUUACAAUGGGUGGUACAAAGGGCAGCUACCUGGCGACAGGAUGCUAAUCUCGAAAACCGCUCUCAGUUCGGAUCGGAGUCUGCAACUCGACUCCGUGAAGCUGGAUUCGCUAGUAAUCGCGCAUCAGCCACGGCGCGGUGAAUACGUUCCCGGGCCUU